Molecule: ribosomal RNA, 400 nt
Filed under: uncultured bacterium
Lineage: Bacteria
Description: bacterial SSU rRNA
Rfam family: Bacterial small subunit ribosomal RNA
Source: RNAcentral
CCUACGGGGGGCUGCAGUGGGGAAUAUUGGACAAUGGGCGAAAGCCUGAUCCAGCAAUGCCGCGUGAGUGAUGAAGGCCUUAGGGUUGUAAAGCUCUUUUACCAGGGAUGAUAAUGACAGUACCUGGAGAAUAAGCUCCGGCUAACUCCGUGCCAGCAGCCGCGGUAAUACGGAGGGAGCUAGCGUUGUUCGGAAUUACUGGGCGUAAAGCGCACGUAGGCGGCUACUCAAGUCGGGGGUGAAAGCCCGGGGCUCAACCCCGGAACUGCCCUCGAAACUAGGUAGCUAGAAUCUUGGAGAGGUCAGUGGAAUUCCGAGUGUAGAGGUGAAAUUCGUAGAUAUUCGGAAGAACACCAGUGGCGAAGGCGACUGACUGGACAAGUAUUGACGCUGAGGUGCG